UACGUAGGUGGCAAGCGUUGUCCGGAUUUACUGGGCGUAAAGGAUGCGUAGGCGGACAUUUAAGUCAGAUGGGAAAUACCCGAGCUUAACUUGGGUGCUGCAUUUGAAACUGGGUGUCUAGAGUGCAGGAGAGGUAAGUGGAAUUCCUAGUGUAGCGGUGAAAUGCGUAGAGAUUAGGAAGAACACCAGUGGCGAAGGCGACUUACUGGACUGUAACUGACGCUGAGGCAUGAAAGCGUGGGGAGCAAACAGG
This 253-nucleotide ribosomal RNA is filed under the name uncultured bacterium. Its description in RNAcentral is "partial 16S ribosomal RNA". It matches the Rfam family "Bacterial small subunit ribosomal RNA", at positions 524 to 776 of the family's 1533-position model. The record is from RNAcentral.